RNAcentral lists this ribosomal RNA (400 nucleotides) under uncultured bacterium. Its description in RNAcentral is "bacterial SSU rRNA". It matches the Rfam family "Bacterial small subunit ribosomal RNA", at positions 357 to 774 of the family's 1533-position model. The record is from RNAcentral.
AGGAAUAUUGGACAAUGGAGGAAACUCUGAUCCAGCCAUGCCGCGUGUGUGAUGAAGGCCUUCGGGUUGUAAAGCACUUUUAGAUGUGACGAUGAUGACGGUAACAUCAGAAAAAGCUCCGGCUAACUUCGUGCCAGCAGCCGCGGUAAUACGAAGGGAGCGAGCGUUGUUCGGAAUUACUGGGCGUAAAGCGUGCGUAGGCGGUUUUGUAAGUAAGGAGUGAAAGCCUGGGGCUUAACCUCAGAAUUGCUUUUUAGACUGCAGAACUAGAAUUCUGGAGAGGUUAGUGGAAUUCCGAGUGUAGAGGUGAAACUCGCAGAUAUUCGGAGGAACACCAGUGGCGAAGGCGACUAACUGGACAGAUAUUGACGCUGAGGCACGAAAGCGUGGGGAUCAAACA